This 1527-nucleotide long non-coding RNA is filed under the name Brassica rapa (field mustard). RNAcentral describes it as "long non-coding RNA (BRAP_LNC005196)". The record is from RNAcentral. Lineage: Eukaryota; Viridiplantae; Streptophyta; Magnoliopsida; Brassicales; Brassicaceae.
UUUUAUUAUCACUGCACAUAUCAUAAUACAUUGUUAAUAAUUAUACUAAUUUAGUAGCAGAAUUGAAAUGGAAAAUUACCUUUCCCUUUCUCUAAGGUGUAACAAAUUCCCUUUUUUUUCAAGCUAAUUUGGCUUUUUUUUUUUUCGACUUUUCCACUGAAUCUAUACAGUCUACAUCAUCUACAUCUUCAAGCAUUAGUUGCAGUGACAAUCGUUGUUUUGAAUCCAGACGGUGUUCUUCUCCUUCAGACGUUUGCCCAUAUCAAGUUUCCGUGUCUACUACCACUACCUCCACCGGGACAUUGUUACGAGAUGUGUUCCAUCUCAUCACAGAAGAUGAGGAUUUGAAACGAUGCUAACGUCGCGCUUGUGUAAGUGAUGACUAUUUUCCUCUGUUAACCAGCAAGCAAAGCAACCUAUUUGUUUUACAACGGUAAGACUGAAUAUGAAAUGUUAUCUAGACAUGCACAAAAGUCUAUGUCUUUUGUCUCACUUAAGACUCAUGCACGGCUCCGUCAGCUGUCCUGCUGUUUGAGAACCUGAGGCAAUCAAGGAUAUGUCAAAAGAACUGACUCCUUGUUUGUGAUGAUGCUGCGGUCAGAGAGACUGGUUUUUUCCUGAACCGUCAAUCCGUGAAUGGCGUUCUCGGGCUUGGUGCGAAGAUUAUUCUGUUCCUAGCAUUCUAGCAAAAUCUAAAAUCGCUGCAAACUCUUUUUCAAUAUGUUUCGGACGAAUCAGUUUCGGAGACAAAGGCUACAGACCAGCGUGAACCUCCAUUCGAAUCUCUUGAACCAAGGUACAAAAUCAGCUUCAUAUUACCAUCUACACCGAUUAUGUUACCAUCUUCAAUUCAUUACUUCCCUUUGUGAUUCACAUUCUUGAUCCAAAAUGAACAUUAGUAUGGCUAAUGGUGUGCAUGUGACGGGAUUAUUAAGGGCAGCAGCACUGAAGUGACCUGUUUUUCUUCGCAUUUUUGCACAGUUCGACACUGGCUCAUCAUUUACAUACUUAAGGGUUCCAAUCAAACAAUGAAUAGGAAGCAUUACCAAAAGACGUCUAUACGAAAAUAUGCUUACAUAGCGACAACACCUUGAUCGAGAGUCGAGACGCAACUUAUCGGUAUUGAGCGAAUGAUUGAGUUCUUAGUUGUGGAUCCUACUUACAUUAUCAAAUAAUGUAUAAGAAGCGUUACCAGAGAACAUUAAGAAACAGAAGAAGUAUUACAAUCAGAAAAGUACCUUCUCGCUAUUAUGAUAGAGCGAAUGAAUGACUUGUAUUGAAUUGUAGUUUCUAUAGAUAUUCUGAAUUGGAAGAAUUAUAAAAUCAAAUAAUGGUAUUGAAAUAGAUAGGAAAACUCAAGAGAGACAGUAAACUCAAUGAAUGCAUGAGAUACAAUAAACUCACCAGAAACUCAUCCUAGACAAUUUUUGUAGAGAAAUAGACCGGAAGAUACAUAAACUCAACAUGGCCAGAAUGUGAGAGAGAAUAAUCUGAAAAUGAGAGAGAGUACAGAAAAGAAGAUCGUCC